RNAcentral lists this ribosomal RNA (482 nucleotides) under uncultured Ottowia sp. Its description in RNAcentral is "bacterial SSU rRNA". It matches the Rfam family "Bacterial small subunit ribosomal RNA", at positions 520 to 1007 of the family's 1533-position model. Lineage: Bacteria; Pseudomonadati; Pseudomonadota; Betaproteobacteria; Burkholderiales; Comamonadaceae. The record is from RNAcentral.
GCAAUACGUAGGUGCAAGCGUUAAUCGGAAUUACUGGGCGUAAAGCGUGCGCAGGCGGUGAUGUAAGACAGGCGUGAAAUCCCCGGGCUCAACCUGGGAAUGGCGCCUGUGACUGCAUCGCUGGAGUGCGGCAGAGGGGGAUGGAAUUCCGCGUGUAGCAGUGAAAUGCGUAGAUAUACACAAGAACACCAGUGGCGAAGGCGAUCUUCUGGCUAUUACCUGACGCUAAGGCUCGAAAGCGUGGGAGCAAACAGGAUUAGAUACCCUGGUAGUCCACGCUGUAAACGAUGAAUACUAGAUGUUGGUCGUAAAGAUCAGUGUCGCAGCUAACGCAUUAAGUAUUCCGCCUGGGGAGUACGGUCGCAAGAUUAAAACUCAAAGGAAUUGACGGGGACCCGCACAAGCGGUGGAGUAUGUGGUUUAAUUCGAAGCAACGCGCAGAACCUUACCAGCUCUUGACAUGGGACGUAUAGGGAUCAGAG